GAAACUGAAGAUCAUAAAUAGGUACAAAACUAUAAUUGUCAACUAAACAACUAUAAAUUGUAUGUCACCUUGAUCAAAUCAUAUAUGGCUUCAAAUGAGUAACUAACCAUAUAAUAGUUCAUAUGCAUAUACAACAAAAUCAAAAUCAGCAAACAGAAAAAAAAUAUAUACAUAAACUUAACAUUCAGAAGAAUAUACUAAAUGAUCUAGCUUUCACAACAAGCUUAACAGAAUAUUCUCUAAUUAAUUAUAAGACAUAUUAUACCUAUAAGUUAAGAUUAUAAAUGGAAUGUCUUGUUAUUAAAUGUAUAUUUGAAUAAUAAAGAGAAAAAUAUCCAGAAAGUAGUUUACACCAAAAAUUUAAUUGACUAAUCUUAUUAAUAAUAUUUAAAUAUUAAAUAUAUGAUAUUAUGAAAUAAGAAAUCUCGUCAACUAAUUGCAACUGGUUUUUUUACUGCAACCGUUUUUUUUUAUAACGCUGAUUUAUUAUGACAUUACAUUUAUAAGAAAGAUUACAUAGACGAUUCGACAACUGAUAAUACUACCUGCCUUAUGAAGAUCUACGCCUAACUGCAUCAUCUGAGUCGUCCUAUGAAGAUCCAUUCCUGACCAGAUUUACUUGCACCAUGUUGAAGAUUUAUUGUAAAUAUUUCUUCUAUAGUCUGCAUUAAUAAAUCACUCUCUCCGAAACUUGAAACCUGGAUUUCCUGUAAUAUGCAAGAAAUUGCAUAGUCUGGGGUUCGAACCCCAUACCUGGGUGUAGAAGCCUUUAAACCUUAACCACUAGGCUACGCUGCUUCCACCCGUUUUUUUAUCGUGUACACAAAUAUUGAUAAAAUGAUACAAAAGCUAAUAUGACUAUAAUCCAAUACAUUUACAAAUAUAAAAAAUACUCGUCUAACCAUGAGUCAAUCUUAGUAGCUAAUAUGUAUAUAUCCAAUACAUAUUUUAUUAUAUAAAAAAGAGUUUGCUCUCUCCUUAGAGAGACACAUCAACGUCCAUGUCACAAAUUUAGUUCACCACGUCGUGACACGUCUCCCCAUAUACUAAACACACCGUUUUAUUAAGUCUGAUGGCAUAAUGGGUUUUGUUCGAUUGGCGUUGUAUAUUAAGUAGAAGAAGUUGAAAUCUUUGAAACAAAAUUGAAAACGUAAUAUUGCUAUUAUAGACUUCUUCUCUACUUCCUCAAAUUUGAUAAAUCGAUACAAAGAACCACAGAAUAUGAACAACUCUUCUUAUGCGUUUUUUUUUCAUUAUCCUGAAACAAUCUUCGAUCUACACGAACCUAAAAGUCUCUUUCUUUUUUCCCAGGGGCAUCCAUGAUGAAGCUACAGGCGGUCCUCAGCGGUUUCAUCCUUACCUUUUGCCUCCGUUACUCCGUCUACGUCUCCUUCAUCAUCACUGGAGAUUUCUUCGGCGAACUGGCAGUCGCAACGCAUAGUCAAUAACAGAGAGACGAAAAAAAGUGUACUUGCAAAUGCAAUAUAGGAAGCCGGGCAUAGGAAGUUGUUGAGCCUGGACAUGAGGCAAAAUGACCAAGAGAGAGGUGCAGCGGUGGGUCACACAUAAGUAGAAGCAGAAGGAUGAGAAAAUAAAGGCAGUAAGGAUGGGAGGGAUCACAAUCCAAGAACAACGAAGCGAUAGUUUACUGCAAUCUACAAGAAAAUAAAGGCAGUAAGUAUGUGAGCAAGUUUAGGAAGUCAACGAAGCAGCACAAUUUUUGUGAGAAGGAUGAGAUGAAGCGGAAAUUUUUUCAGAGGAUCAACGUAAACAACAUCGUGUAGUUUAUCCUAAAAAAAAUCACGAAAAGGUACUGACCUAUGCCAUGGACUUUAUAAUUCAGACAUACAUUUACAUUUUUCUCUUUUCAUUCUAAGUAGAAGACCAAGAGCAAAACAAAACAUAGCUUUGUGCUCAGUUAGCUGACACUAUAUGAAUGUUAAACAUCUGAAAGUUAUUGCAUUGUUUUUACUGGUUC
This is a long non-coding RNA of Brassica napus (rape), 1978 nucleotides long. RefSeq lists it as uncharacterized. NCBI's taxonomy places the organism in Eukaryota, Viridiplantae, Streptophyta, Magnoliopsida, Brassicales, Brassicaceae. The transcript is spliced from 2 exons. The record is from RefSeq and is a predicted model, not a curated record.